Molecule: long non-coding RNA, 681 nt
Filed under: Struthio camelus australis
Lineage: Eukaryota; Metazoa; Chordata; Aves; Struthioniformes; Struthionidae
Description: lncRNA (ENSSCUG00000013450.1)
Source: RNAcentral
CACAGUUUGACAUCAAGAGGAAUGCAAACAGAUGCUUUAUUUUUAGCAUAGUUAUUCUCUCAGGUUGGUGCUAUCUUUCAUCUUGGCUCAAUGAGGUGGGCUUAAAUCUACCUUUCUUCAUGCAGACGCCUGUGUCAGUGCUUGCAGAAUCUCUGCCCUUGUUUGGAAGAAGAGUGCUUUCUGUGAGACUAGGACGUAGUGAAUUGAAGCUUAAGGCUUGUGAUGUACCUACAUCAUGUCUAUUUCAGAGCCUCAGAAAAGGGUGCUCCAGCUUUUUUUGGAAGAGGAUAGAUUCCGUAAGCAUGGCUGUGGACACAGCAUACAGGUAUUCUGCAUUUCUGCCUCUGUGGAGCCAAAAGAGCGUCAGAUUGCCACAUUGCAGUUCAGGGGCUGCUUUUUCGUGGCGUUCCCUCUGCAAGGUACUGCACAGAGUGAAUGUAUGUGGCAGAGGACCAGACUUGAUAUCCCAUGGACAUUUAUGCAUGAAGAUGAACUAUCUCCCAAGUGAUCUGAAAUCUUCACUGGAGCUAAGCUGUCGGCUAAAUGUUAUACCUCUGCACUUUUCGUUUCAGUGGGCCCACCAACUUCAGAAGGAGAACGUACAUCAGUAAGGUACUUCAUGUGAGCAGGAACUGAGAGACUGGACAUGAACGUGAAAUAAAAACCUCACUCCCUCUUCCA